GAUGAAGAACGUAGCGAAAUGCGAUACUUGGUGUGAAUUGCAGAAUCCCGUGAACCAUCGAGUCUUUGAACGCAAGUUGCGCCCGAAGCCAUUAGGCCGAGGGCACGCCUGCCUGGGCGUCACACGUCGUUGCCCCCCCAUCUACUCCUUCGGGAUUGCGGGGGGCGGAUGAUGGCCUCCCGUGCGCCUCGCCGCGCGGUUGGCAUAAAUGCCAAGUCCUUGGCGACGCACGCCACGACAAUCGGUGGUUGCGAAACCUCGGUUGCCCGUCGUGUGCGGUCGUCGCGCAUCGAGGGCUCGAAAAAAUUGCCGGGUUCCGGCUCGGCUUUCAACGCGACCCCAGGUCAGGCGGGGUUACUCGCUGAAUUUAAGCAUAUCAAUAAGCGGAGGA
This 391-nucleotide unclassified non-coding RNA is filed under the name soil metagenome. Its description in RNAcentral is "partial contains 5.8S ribosomal RNA, internal transcribed spacer 2, and large subunit ribosomal RNA". The stretch from base 1 to 122 matches the Rfam family "5.8S ribosomal RNA", at positions 35 to 154 of the family's 154-position model. The record is from RNAcentral.